This 811-nucleotide long non-coding RNA is filed under the name Vigna radiata. Its description in RNAcentral is "long non-coding RNA (VRAD_LNC002100)". Lineage: Eukaryota; Viridiplantae; Streptophyta; Magnoliopsida; Fabales; Fabaceae. The record is from RNAcentral.
GAGCCUCUGGAUGAUUCUAGGAUUAAUACUAAAGUUAACCCUAGUAGGGAAUGUCAAGUCACUAUCACUAAAAGUGACGAGGUUGUUGAUGAGGAAAAGAUAGAGAGAGAUAAUGAAAAGAUAGAUGAGGAAAAGAUUGAGAGAGAUGAGGAAAAGAUAGAGAGAAAUGAGUAAAAGAUAGAGGAGGAAAAGAUUGGGAGAGACGAGGAAAAGAUAGAGGAGAUAGAGACAGAAAGGUUGAGUGAGGAAGAUAGAGAUGAAGAGAAGGAAAUAGAAGUGGUUGAGAGAAAAGAAAAAAGAGAAAAUGUGUGAAAAUAAACAAGAAAGUAAGAAAAAAGAAAAAGAGAAAGUUGAGGGAGAAGAAGAGUAAGAAGAAGAGGAUGAAAGGAAGAAAGAAAAGAUCACAUGAAAAACCCCUUGCACAUCUAAAAAUGUAUCAUAGGAAGGAAAAGAAUUUAUGUGCUUUAUGGAGAUCUUCAAGAAAUUGUAGAUUAAAGUUCCUAUGAUUGAAACAUGAAAACAGGUGUUUGGUCUUAUCAACUUUCUGAAGAAAUUCAGUCGAAAGAAGAAAAAGAAAAGAAUAUCAAGCAAAGAGAAUAUCAACACUUACUAAUGGGUGUUUAAACUUUACUAGGUCAAGCUAAUGACGUUAAAAGAGCGCUUGCUAGGAGGCAACCCAAUUUCUGACUUUAUCUUUUUCUUUGAUUAUUUGUGUGGUUUGGAUUUGAUUUUUCUUUGUGUGUUUGAGUUUUUUUUAGGUUAUAUGUUGCUUCUGAUGACAGUGAUGGUAACAUCUACUUGUUGAGAUUGU